AGAGUUUGAUCAUGGCUCAGGAUGAACGCUGGCGGUAUGCCUUAUACAUGCAAGUCGUACGAGAGUUUUUAACUCAAGUGGCGGACGGGUGAGUAACACGUAAGAAUUUGCCUUUAGGAGGGGGAUAACAACUGGAAACGGUUGCUAAUACCCCAUAUGCUUUCGAGUGAAAUGGAUUUCCGCCUAAAGAGAAGCUUGCGGCUGAUUAGCUUGUUGGUGGGGUAAUGGCCUACCAAGGCGACGAUCAGUAUCUGGUUUGAGAGGACGAUCAGACACACUGGAACUGAGACACGGUCCAGACUCCUACGGGAGGCAGCAGUAGGGAAUUUUCCGCAAUGGGCGAAAGCCUGACGGAGCAAUACCGCGUGAGGGAUGACUGCCUAUGGGUUGUAAACCUCUUUUUUCAGGGAGGAACAAAAUGACGUGUACCUGAAGAAUAAGCAUCGGCUAACUCCGUGCCAGCAGCCGCGGUAAGACGGAGGAUGCAAGUGUUAUCCGGAAUCACUGGGCGUAAAGCGUCUGUAGGUGGCUUGAUAAGUCAACUGUUAAAUCUUGAAGCUCAACUUCAAAAUCGCAGUCGAAACUAUCAGACUAGAGUAUAGUAGAGGUAAAGGGAAUUUCCAGUGGAGCGGUGAAAUGCGUAGAGAUUGGAAAGAACACCGAUGGCGAAGGCACUUUACCGGGCUAUUACUGACACUCAGAGACGAAAGCUAGGGUAGCAAAUGGGAUUAGAUACCCCAGUAGUCCUAGCCGUAAACAAUGGAUACUAGGUGUUGAACAGAUCGACCUGUGCAGUACUAAAGCUAACGCGUUAAGUAUCCCGCCUGGGAAGUAUGCUCGCAAGAGUGAA
This 850-nucleotide ribosomal RNA is filed under the name uncultured bacterium. RNAcentral describes it as "bacterial SSU rRNA". It matches the Rfam family "Bacterial small subunit ribosomal RNA", at positions 8 to 898 of the family's 1533-position model. The record is from RNAcentral.